GAAGAUAUGAAAUGGUGAGAUAUAGAUACGUAAUGGUACGGGUAUGUACAAAAAUUCAAUUGAAUAUUGAAUACAUGAAAUUGAGAGUUUAUGAUCAUUGUGGAAUUGAACAUCAUUUAAACUUGUGAUUAAUGACUUGUAGUAUAUUAUGUUCAUAUUACUUGAUUGAUGAAUGAAUGGUGAGUGUUGUUUAUUAAUUCAUACGAGCUUACUAAGCUUUAUAGCUUACUUUGUU
Molecule: long non-coding RNA, 235 nt
Filed under: Gossypium barbadense (sea-island cotton)
Lineage: Eukaryota; Viridiplantae; Streptophyta; Magnoliopsida; Malvales; Malvaceae
Description: long non-coding RNA (GBAR_LNC001422)
Source: RNAcentral